RNAcentral lists this ribosomal RNA (466 nucleotides) under uncultured bacterium. Its description in RNAcentral is "partial 16S ribosomal RNA". It matches the Rfam family "Bacterial small subunit ribosomal RNA", at positions 28 to 507 of the family's 1533-position model. The record is from RNAcentral.
GACGAACGCUGGCGGCGUGCUUAACACAUGCAAGUCGAACGGAAAGGCCCUGCUUGCAGGGUACUCGAGUGGCGAACGGGUGAGUAACACGUGGGUGAUCUGCCCUGCACUUCGGGAUAAGCUUGGGAAACUGGGUCUAAUACCGGAUAGGAGCCAUCUUUAGUGUGGUGGUUGGAAAGUUUUUUCGGUGUAGGAUGAGCUCGCGGCCUAUCAGCUUGUUGGUGUGGUAAUGGCCUACCAAGGCGGCGACGGGUAGCCGGCCUGAGAGGGUGUACGGCCACAUUGGGACUGAGAUACGGCCCAGACUCCUACGGGAGGCAGCAGUGGGGAAUAUUGCACAAUGGGCGCAAGCCUGAUGCAGCGACGCCGCGUGGGGGAUGAAGGCCUUCGGGUUGUAAACUCCUUUCGCUAGGGACGAAGCUUUUUUGUGACGGUACCUAGAUAAGAAGCACCGGCUAACUACGUG